This 478-nucleotide ribosomal RNA is filed under the name uncultured bacterium. RNAcentral describes it as "partial 16S ribosomal RNA". It matches the Rfam family "Bacterial small subunit ribosomal RNA", at positions 28 to 507 of the family's 1533-position model. The record is from RNAcentral.
GAUGAACGCUGGCGGCGUGCUUAACACAUGCAAGUCGAACGAGAAAUGGAGACGGACACCUUCGGGCGGAAGGCUUCAUUUCGAGUGGCGGACGGGUGAGUAACGCGUGGGUAACCUGCCUCAUACAGGGGGAUAACAGUUGGAAACGACUGUUAAUACCGCAUAAGACCACAGCACCGCAUGGUGCGGGGGUAAAAACUCCGGUGGUAUGAGAUGGACCCGCGUUCGAUUAGCCAGUUGGCGGGGUAACGGCCCACCAAAGCGACGAUCGAUAGCCGAUCUGAGAGGAUGACCGGCCACAUUGGGACUGAGACACGGCCCAAACUCCUACGGGAGGCAGCAGUGGGGAAUAUUGCACAAUGGGGGAAACCCUGAUGCAGCGACGCCGCGUGAGUGAAGAAGUACUUCGGUAUGUAAAGCGCUAUCAGCAGGGAAGAAAAUGACGGUACCUGAGUAAGAAGCCCCGGCUAACUACGUG